AGAACGAACGCUGGCGGCAGGCUUAACACAUGCAAGUCGAACGCUCGUAGCAAUACGGGAGUGGCAGACGGGUGAGUAACGCGUGGGAACAUACCCUCCGGUUCGGAAUAGCUCAGGGAAACUUGGAUUAAUACCGGAUACGGCUGAGAGGCGAAAGAUUUAUCGCCGGAGGAUUGGCCCGCGUUCGAUUAGCUUGUUGGUGAGGUAACGGCUCACCAAGGCGAUGAUCGAUAGCUGGUCUGAGAGGAUGAUCAGCCACAUUGGGACUGAGACACGGCCCAAAACUCCUACGGGAGGCAGCAGUGGGGAAUAUUGGACAAUGGGCGCAAGCCUGAUCCAGCCAUGCCGCGUGAGUGAUGAAGGCCCUAGGGUUGUAAAGCUCUUUUGUGCGGGAAGAUAAUGACGGUACCGCAAGAAUAACGCCCGGCUAACUUCGCGCCAGCAGCCGC
This 449-nucleotide ribosomal RNA is filed under the name uncultured bacterium. RNAcentral's name for it is "SSU rRNA". It matches the Rfam family "Bacterial small subunit ribosomal RNA", at positions 26 to 518 of the family's 1533-position model. The record is from RNAcentral.